RNAcentral lists this unclassified non-coding RNA (304 nucleotides) under Hevea brasiliensis (rubber tree). Lineage: Eukaryota; Viridiplantae; Streptophyta; Magnoliopsida; Malpighiales; Euphorbiaceae. The record is from RNAcentral.
GUUUAAAAUAACUUUGAUUCGAUUUGAAACCUCAAAAAUCAUACACAGCCCUAUCCAGAAGGGCUUAGAAUUUGCUAAAAAUACAAUACUUACUAAACCUUUUACAUGACACGGUCAGGCCAAAAAUCUCCGACAUCAUAACAUCAGAAGUAUAAUCAGAUGAAGAAAUAGCCUUUCCACAGCAAAUUAGCCAAAGUGCACCAGAAGCUAUACUUUCACAUUGCAACUAUUCCGAAUAUUAAGUGGGAAAUGAUAUAGGCCUAGCAAAUUAAAGAAAUUCUUCACAUCCAAAUCAACUUUCAGA